Molecule: ribosomal RNA, 590 nt
Filed under: uncultured bacterium
Lineage: Bacteria
Description: partial 16S ribosomal RNA
Rfam family: Bacterial small subunit ribosomal RNA
Source: RNAcentral
UGGGGAAUAUUGGACAAUGGGCGCAAGCCUGAUCCAGCAAUGCCGCGUGUGUGAAGAAGGCCUUCGGGUUGUAAAGCACUUUUAUCAGGAGCGAAACACUGUCGGCUAAUACCCGGCGGAACUGACGGUACCUGAGGAAUAAGCACCGGCUAACUUCGUGCCAGCAGCCGCGGUAAUACGAAGGGUGCAAGCGUUAAUCGGAAUUACUGGGCGUAAAGCGUGCGUAGGCGGUUUCUUAAGUCUGCUGUGAAAUCCCCGGGCUCAACCUGGGAAUGGCAGUGGAUACUGGGAGGCUAGAGUGUGUCAGAGGGUGGUGGAAUUCCCGGUGUAGCGGUGAAAUGCGUAGAGAUCGGGAGGAACAUCAGUGGCGAAGGCGGCCACCUGGGACAACACUGACGCUGAGGCACGAAAGCGUGGGGAGCAAACAGGAUUAGGAUACCCUGGUAGUCCACGCCCUAAACGAUGCGAACUGGAUGUUGGUCUCAACUCGGAGAUCAGUGUCGAAGCUAACGCGUUAAGUUCGCCGCCUGGGGAGUACGGUCGCAAGACUGGAAACUCAAAUGAAUUGACGGGGUCAUAGCUGUUUCCUG